AUGCAAGGGAGGGCAGUAAAAAGCCAGGCUGCUUUCAGGAGAGCGUCUUGUUUGAACGGCUGCAGCCGCGCUCAGCUGUCCCACCAGCCGCAGCCCAGCCGGGCGUGGCUUUGCGUGUCCCCCAGCACUGAGCACUGCCCCUCUGACACCGCGUGCUGCCUGCUCCUCAGCAGAAAUCGCUGGGAAGGCAGCAGCACAUCUCCUUCUCCACGUCCUCCUCAGGGACCUUUCAUCCUCCUCACGUUAGCAGAGACAAAAGUCACGGCUAUGGAUAGGCCUGCCUGGAUGAUGUACCUGACUGCAGCCGCUCUGGUCAGAUCUGCAGAGGCACCCAUUACAGCACCUGUGGUGUGCUGCUUCUGGGUGGCCAGUCCAUCUACUGCCAUCAACCAGAUUAUCCUUUCAGCACCCCUGAGACACGUGAGUCUGCUUCAGCAGAUUCCCCAAAGGCAGGGGGACACGCAACGUCACUGUAAGAGGAUUUCCCAGGAUUAGGAAGUGAUCACAACAUGAAUGAAAUUACUCAGCAGUGUCACCACAUUCACCAGCUACCACUGACCUUUGAAAACUUCCGUGUCUGCUUCGCUGACAUGUGCUCUCGGUUCUGAACAAAACACCUCUGAGCUCACUUCAGCCAAAACAUCACCAACAUUUCACUCUUCAGUAAACCCCUUAAGACCCUCUUACUUGCCAGCCCUCCCAUAGCCAUCCCUCUCUGCCCUUGUGUCAUACCUGGCUUGAUCUCAUUUACACCUUGCACUCUGGCCAAAACCCUGUGUUUUUAAUUCUUUCCUCUUUUUUAACUGGGAUGCCAGUAAUCAGUCUUCAGUCUACAUUAACUAAUAGCCUAUACAGACACACUUUCUCCUAGUCCUACUGAAUAUAUUUUUUAAAAUACAACAUAGGGUAUUUUAGACAGAAAGACAGAGACAUCCCCUGAAACUUUAUUAAAAAGGAAUAAAAGUCAAUGCAUGGCAGCCACACUCUGUCUGGUACAAACCCAAAUUAUGAGGUUGGACAUAGAUACUUCAGGCUAUUGGACUCUUCUGGCAAGGGAGAAUCUUUUACUUUUAAUAAAUAUUUCAAAAGACAUGGGGUUUAUUCCAAUGAUGGUUUUCAUGGAAGCAGAGCAAUAAGAUACUGUUUUCAAAAUUGCUUCAAGCACAGUUUCUUCCCACUUGCCAAACCCUAGCAGCCAGAGCUCCACAGCUCUUUUCAUGCUAAACUUCCUAUAUUCCAGUCACAAGCAUAUAACUCAUAAUCCCAUUCAACUUUGAUACCACAACUGAAUUGCCCCAUCCCAAUCCUGUGGUUUCAGACCCAGCAAAUUUGACAUUCACGCUUGUACGGAAAAUAGCUUGAGGGCUAAAAAGUCUGUGGAGGUUGGCUUUGUUAUUGGGUGGAGAAGGCAGAAGAAUAACUGGAAAGGGAUUAGGCACGUUAGCUUCAUGCUGGAUGAGGAAAGCUGUGUCUUGGCAUUUUUUUAAAUGGGGAACUCUGUUCCAGGAUGACUGGGAUCACCCACUGAAUAGAAUAAUUAAUUGUUCAGCUGCUCAUUAACCUCACCCAUCACUUACACAUUUUUUGUUGAAGCUUGAAAGAGCUGUUGCCAAAUCAACACCAUUUUUUCCUUAAAUCCAUCUCAAUUCCAAGUCUAACUUAGAUUUUCUCCAACCUUUGAACUCAGUGAACCUCAGUUAUGGGGACAAGAACAUUUAUAUUGAAACAUGUCACAACAUGAGCUGGGAGAAAGAAAAAUGAAUGUUUUAAGAGUGCAGUAGCAUGGGGGUAAUUUUUCACCCUUGAUUCUGAUGUAAGCACAUUUGGUGAACAUUACAAUGGGGUUUGUGUGCUUCCCAUCUUAUAAAGUGGUGAAGCAUUUUGAGAUCUGAAAGUAGGAAAAUAUUGUACUGGCACUACAUAUUCAUGACUGUGUUCUCUGUUUUAUGCCAUCUGUUUUUCUUAAAAUGUUUGUUUUUCCAGCUGUCUACCCAUCCUCUCUUUCCUGGGAGAUGUGCAAAUGCCUUGCUCCACCUCCUUCUCUGUAGUGACAGAAAAGGCAGGCAGUGCCAUCACAUUGUCUGCACUGUGUCAGCCUUGGCUUGUUACACAAUCCUUGGAAUUCAUACAGCAAGUCACAUAGCAUGGCAUAAAUUUUUAUACCUAUGCUGAUCCCUUUGGAGUUACAGACUAAGGAGAUGGAGGGCAAGUAAGCAGAUAUACCUGGGUGGCUACUGCACUUAUUUUGUCUCCCCUUCUCCCGUCAGCUGCUAAUAUUGCCUUUGAUAAGGUAGGAUAUUCAUAUGAAACAUAUUGAAGAGGGAGAAAUCCACAGUCAUGAUAGCAGGGAAAAACAAACCAAACCAAACCAAACCAAACCAAACCAAAACAAAACAAAACAAAACAAACCAAACAAACAAACACAAAACAAAAACAAAACAAAAAGCCAAAACAAAAAACAAAAAAAAACCAGAAAAAGGUACAAGUUCUGCAAAAAGAAGCUACUGUUGUUUCAAAUGAGUAAUGUGUUAGUCUCCAGGUCUCCAGAGGCAUUUAUCUGACUUUUUUUUUUUUACUGGACUGACCAAAAUCAGAGCGCAGUCUGCCCUAGAGGGAAAUGCCUGCCAGACACAACCUUCACAUAAAUAUUUCUCAAAUUAAGUAAUUUUUUUACAAGAAAAACACAAAAUCCAGCCUGAUAGAAAUCUGCAUGUGAUGGAAAGAGCUAAGCAGCCCCCUCCUGCUUGGAGCCAGGAAGGGGUGAACGCUCUUCAGGGACAACUACUGCUUCCUCAGGCACAUCUUCCUGCUCCCACUGUGCUAAAGGCCAGGUCUGAGUCCAGCAGCUGCAAGUCUGACCCUCUGGCCAGUUCCCAGCACCUGCAGGCUGCUUCCUGCAGAGCCACGCCAGCUGCUUUCUCAGGUCUCUAAAGGGCAUGGAUUUUUCUUACACUGUUUUUCUGCACAGAUUUAUUUGCAUGAAAUGAGUGUUCUUCAAACUCAGAUUCUUUCUUUUUCUUUUUAAGAUCAAAAGCCUAGUGCCCUUUACUGCAGCUGUGUGUGUUGCUUAGCAUGUAAGCCAGUUUUAAAAAUCUACACAAACCGGCUCUGAGGGGCUCCUUUUCCUGCAGUGCAAGAGGCUUUAGGCAAAACAUGUAUCAGUGAAAAGUAAAUUCAAAAGGAUAGACAUGAAGAUAAAGCCAAAAACCUGAAACAUAAUUUGGGAUGAUAAAUAUUCCAGCAUAUUUUACAUUAGGUAUCUAAAUCAGAACCUUUUUGGAGUUUCUGUUUCAGUUCCCACAUUUUAGCCCUCGGAAAAAUAGAUGAAGAGAGGCAACACUCAUACAGAUAGUGUCAAAGUAAUGCUUUUCCUUUCUCUUCCAAACAGGGCUUUCUACAAAUGAACAAUAACAUCUUAAAGAAGUUUUCUGUAGGAAGAAAGAAGGUGAUUUAUAUAAGUAUUUGCUUUCACCUUAAUCUAAUCAGUAGCCAGUUAUGGUCUGUGAAUUAGUCCUACAGAUUGUUAGUGUAGAACAGAAAUCUAUCAAUUCAGUCUGAAGAGACUUGCUACUCACAUUAAGCCAGAGUCUCUAUCACUUUUUGGCUGUGGGUUUAGUUCAGUACAACUCUUGGUGUCAGUCUAAUAUCAGUGAAUGUCUAGAGGAAGAUGUAGAGCAUUCCCUGCAGUCCUACAUCUGUAAAAUACACCAGUCCUUAGCUUAUUAGCUUUGAGCCCUAUGUGGAGAAAUGCUUUUAAGUCUUAUAUAAAGUGCUAUUUUGAAGAGAUCUAGCAAGUCUACUCAUUAUUUGGGCUGAAGAAUUUUCUCUUUUAUAAAUCCUCAGUCUUUCUGUUUAUGAUUUUGACAGUCUUUUUAAAAUGUUCCAUGGCAUCCAGCUUAAGUUACUUUCAAGAUCCAAGUUAAGGAUCAAAAAAUGCUGUUUUUUUCAUGCCCUGAAAUUCUUGAAUGGUCUUUCUUGUAUGGGUGAUGGGAUGACUGACA
This is a long non-coding RNA of Taeniopygia guttata (zebra finch), 4001 nucleotides long. Lineage: Eukaryota; Metazoa; Chordata; Aves; Passeriformes; Estrildidae. The record is from Ensembl.